Molecule: non-coding RNA, 209 nt
Organism: Salvelinus sp. IW2-2015
Lineage: Eukaryota; Metazoa; Chordata; Actinopteri; Salmoniformes; Salmonidae
Source: RefSeq, a predicted model, not a curated record
UGUAGGUACACUCACAUAGAGGCAGAGUGCCCCUUCAUGACCUAUGAGGACCUACUGAGCAGGCUGGAGAUCUGGUGUGUGAUGUGGUGGACAGAGUCCUGAAGUCUCCUGCUGCUUCUCUACUCUACCAAGUCAACCCUGACUUCAAGCCCCCUAAGAGGCCCUUCAAGAGGAUCAACUACUCUGAUGCCAUCAUCUGGCUUAAGGAG